CAAUAGCGUAUAUUAAAGUUGUUGCGGUUAAAAAGCUCGUAGUUGGAUCUCGGCAGGCAGGGGGUGGUUCGCUCUUAGCGCUACUGCCCCAUUUGCCUGUGUGAUUGGCGGAGGUUUCGGGGUGCUCUUCGUUGAGUGACCCGGGGCGCCGUCAGGUUUACUUUGAAAAAAUUAGAGUGCUCAAAGCAGGCUUUUCACGCUUGAAUAUUCGUGCAUGGAAUAAUGGAAUAGGAACUCGUUUCUAUUUUGUUGGUCUUCGGAAAUCGAGUUAAUGAUUAAUAGGGACAAUUGGGGGCAUUAGUAUUCAGACGACAGAGGUGAAAUUCUUGGACCGUCUGAAGACUAACUACUGCGAAAGCAUUUGCCAAGAGUGUUUUCAUUAA
RNAcentral lists this ribosomal RNA (383 nucleotides) under uncultured eukaryote. RNAcentral describes it as "partial 18S ribosomal RNA". It matches the Rfam family "Eukaryotic small subunit ribosomal RNA", at positions 592 to 976 of the family's 1831-position model. The record is from RNAcentral.